GUCUACUUACUGCGGAUGGUUUAUGUAAAUUAGGGUCAGUUUCCUUAUAGGAGCUUGUCACACCUAUGAUGUUUAGAUCCCUUUUGGGUUCAACUAAUGCUGUUUUGCAUGGCGUUACUUUCGAACUUGGUUUAUGACCUCUCGUGAAGCAGAAGGACAAUCCUAUUUUGUUGUUUAUAAAUGCCAGCUCGUUGGAAUUGUGUUGUCACAUGUGGGGAGUGGGUGUCAAUUUUUUUCUUUGCUUAAAUUUCACAGAACCACAGUUUUUUAGGCAGGCUUCUCAACGAGCACUGAUAGAUGCUAAUUUGACCGCAAAAUCAUACGUUUUGUGUCUCAUUGUCUCGCUACACCCAAAACACUGCUUUAAGCUUUGUUGACGGUAUUUCUUACAUGUCAGGCGCCGUGACUUUUUCAUUGAACCCCUUGCAUUUUUCUUUUUUCCUCGUCCCCUUGUCUUCUACUCCGGUGCCGGUGGAGCACGAGCGCCGCGACGGCGAGCAGCACGAAAGUUGCGACGCGAGCGGCAUACAGUGCUCCUCCUCGUCGUUGACAUCCACCGUAAUCGUGCCUAGACGGAGCCGCCUGGCCGCGCUCGUGCCUGGACGUAGCCCUUUGGCCUUCCCUCGACGAGGAGCACCAGAAGCUUCCAGACGUCUUCGCGGAGCUAGUGAAACUGGCGGGGGAUUCCGGGACUCACCGGAGAAGGAGAUCGAGCGGCGGCGGCGGGAGGCCGGAGCCGGGGAAGAAUGAUGAGAUGGCGGCGAUUCAUGGAGCUUCGGUACGAUUCCUUCGUUUGGGAAGCUAAACGAGGCUAGGCGGAGCUCUAGGGCAAGGUUUCGCGGCCUGGGGAGGGCCACGGCCGCGGCGGCGCAAGGUGGCGCUGUGUGGGCGUGCUCGCGUUCCAGGAAGCACAGGGCACGGGAAGACGUGCGGCCUGCGUCUCUAGGCUUAGCAUGGCUAGGGGAUUGUGUUGGCGCAGUCUAGCGGUCGAGGGGAAGCGAGAAGGCGUCGCCAACGACGAGGGAGGACGGUGGCCAGAAAAGCUUGGCGUCGAUUGCGUCGCGGCCGGGCUACGAAAAGCUUCGUUUCAUGUAAGUAGUAGCUCCUAUAGGCAGGCAGUUGUAGACCGACAAGGCGUGACGUGAGGUACGUACGAAGUCGGAGGUCGGACCAAGCUUCAGGCGAUGCACGGUGAGAUGCCAGUAGCGGAGAGCUAGCCGAGAGGGUUGGUUGGUUGAUGUAUGCAGGAGGCCAUUAGCUGCAGGUUGUUAGGAUGACUUAGUGUAGGCAUGUGCGUGUGCUGUUUGGCCGGGUCGUGAGGGUCUAGAGUAAAUCUAGGUGAAUUAGUUAGCUCACCGAGUGCUCCAACAGCCACGGCUCCCGCAUGGAGGUGCGCGAGCGUGGCACGGAACUCGCGGCGGUGGCGGAGCUGGACAGGGUCAAGACCGGAGCUAAGCAUCUCGUUGACACAGACG
RNAcentral lists this long non-coding RNA (1475 nucleotides) under Brachypodium distachyon (stiff brome). RNAcentral's name for it is "long non-coding RNA (BDIS_LNC004048)". Lineage: Eukaryota; Viridiplantae; Streptophyta; Magnoliopsida; Poales; Poaceae. The record is from RNAcentral.